GAAAACGCUGUGGGAAGGAAAGUGGUGAGACGUGCUACGAUAAUGCAUCCUGGAGAAAGCAUGACACACGUGGUCAACUGUGAUGUCCUGGUCAAUCUAACCCUGUCCAAAAGAAAGUUAGAGAAAAAUAUGCUUCUACGCAUUGAUAAUAAGACUGUACCUGAAAUAAACGAAUCCGCUUUAAGGAGAAAUUACACCUUGGCAGAAAAAUAAAAAGCAGAAAACAGAAUCAAAUCAGAACUCACGCUAGUACAAAUAUAUGCUUAGCACACUUCACAGAAGAUUUGUUUGUGAGAAGUAAGAAGAUUCGAC
This is a long non-coding RNA of Solenopsis invicta (red fire ant), 312 nucleotides long. RefSeq lists it as uncharacterized. NCBI's taxonomy places the organism in Eukaryota, Metazoa, Arthropoda, Insecta, Hymenoptera, Formicidae. The transcript has 3 exons. The record is from RefSeq and is a predicted model, not a curated record.